GAGGAAUUUUGCGCAAUGGGAGCAAUCCUGACGCAGCAACGCCGCGUGGGUGAAGAAGGCCUUCGGGUCGUAAAGCCCUGUCAGGUGGGAAGAAGGGUCCUAUCAGGAAAGGGGUGGGAUUUGACGGUACCACCAGAGGAAGCACCGGCUAACUCCGUGCCAGCAGCCGCGGUAAUACGGAGGGUGCGAGCGUUAUUCGGAAUUACUGGGCGUAAAGCGCGUGUAGGCGGGGGAGCAAGUCUGAUGUGAAAGCCCCGGGCUUAACCCGGGAAGUGCAUUGGAAACUGUUUUUCUUGAGUACUGGAGAGGAAGGGGGAAUUCCCGGUGUAGAGGUGAAAUUCGUAGAGAUCGGGAGGAAUACCAGUGGCGAAGGCGCCCUUCCGGACGGUUACUGACGCUGAGACGCGAAAGCGUGGGGAGCAAACAG
Molecule: ribosomal RNA, 427 nt
Filed under: uncultured bacterium
Lineage: Bacteria
Description: bacterial SSU rRNA
Rfam family: Bacterial small subunit ribosomal RNA
Source: RNAcentral